Molecule: ribosomal RNA, 484 nt
Filed under: uncultured bacterium
Lineage: Bacteria
Description: partial 16S ribosomal RNA
Rfam family: Bacterial small subunit ribosomal RNA
Source: RNAcentral
AUUGAACGCUGGCGGCAGGCCUAACACAUGCCAGUCGAGCGGAUGAAGGGAGCUUGCUCCUGGAUUCAGCGGCGGACGGGUGAGUAAUGCCUAGGAAUCUGCCUGGUAGUGGGGGAUAACGUCCGGAAACGGGCGCUAAUACCGCAUACGUCCUGAGGGAGAAAGUGGGGGAUCUUCGGACCUCACGCUACCAGAUGAGCCUAGGUCGGAUUAGCUAGUUGGUGGGGUAAAGGCCUACCAAGGCGACGAUCCGUAACUGGUCUGAGAGGAUGAUCAGUCACACUGGAACUGAGACACGGUCCAGACUCCUACGGGAGGCAGCAGUGGGGAAUAUUGGACAAUGGGCGAAAGCCUGAUCCAGCCAUGCCGCGUGUGUGAAGAAGGUCUUCGGAUUGUAAAGCACUUUAAGUUGGGAGGAAGGGCAGUAAGUUAAUACCUUGCUGUUUUGACGUUACCAACAGAAUAAGCACCGGCUAACUUCGUG